AUUGAACGCUGGCGGCAUGCUUUACACAUGCAAGUCGAACGCGAAAGGGGCAACCCUGAGUAGAGUGGCGCACGGGUGAGUAAUACAUCGGAACGUGUCCUGUAAUGGGGGAUAACGCAGCGAAAGCUGUGCUAAUACCGCAUACGUCCUACGGGAGAAAGCGGGGGAUCGCAAGACCUCGCGUUAUAGGAGCGGCCGAUGCCGGAUUAGCUAGUUGGUGGGGUAAAGGCCUACCAAGGCAACGAUCCGUAGCUGGUCUGAGAGGAUGAUCAGCCACACUGGGACUGAGACACGGCCCAGACUCCUACGGGAGGCAGCAGUGGGGAAUUUUGGACAAUGGGCGCAAGCCUGAUCCAGCCAUGCCGCGUGAGUGAAGAAGGCCUUCGGUUGUAAAGCUCUUUC
RNAcentral lists this ribosomal RNA (402 nucleotides) under uncultured bacterium. Its description in RNAcentral is "bacterial SSU rRNA". It matches the Rfam family "Bacterial small subunit ribosomal RNA", at positions 30 to 437 of the family's 1533-position model. The record is from RNAcentral.